CUGAUGUGCGGCUUGAACCCACGAAACCAUGAGAUCAUGACCUGAGCCGAAACCAAGAGCUGGACACUUAACCGACUGAGCCACCCAGGCACCCCAUGUCCUUGAAUAUAUCUUGAAUCUAUUCACAUUUUUUCCAAUUCCAAUGAGCCCAUCCUAGUCUUAGCCAGGGUGGCUCAGCCAUACUACUGUAAUAACAGCUUCAAAAAGGCCAUUCCAUGGUCUCUCUGCCCACCCUCUAAUCCAUUUCUCACACAAAAGCUAUAAUGAUCUUAAAAAAUAAAAAAAUCAGAUCAAAGCGCCUUCCCACUAAAACCAUUCAAAGGUUUCCUGUUGCUCUUAGGAUAAACUCCUAAAUCCUUAAUCGAUCUACUGGGCCCUCCCUACCUACCUCACCAGCCUCAUCUUUAACAGCAUUUUCACCUUCUCGGUUAAGUUCCAGCCAUUUUGUUCUUUCAGUUCCACAAAUGCUUCAUCUUCUUUUCUACUUUAAAGACUUUGGACACGUUUUAUCCUCCAUCUGCAAUGCAUUUUUUUGUCUAAAUAGGGACUUGCACCAGUAGGUUAAUACAUAUCUGCUGAAUAAAACAACAUAUUUAAAAUAAUCUUUGUCAAGGAAAAUUCAGAAUUGUAGAAUUCUAGAACCUGGAUUCCUUAGUUACCAUCUAAUUCAGUCUUCUCAGAAGUCCAGAAAAUGUCUUUGCCCAAAGUAACAUUAUGGUAAAAAGCUAUGAUAAAUGCCCUAAAAAGGAUCAGCAAUCCAGAUGUGAACCUGGGGCCUGGGUUUGAAGAUUACAAUGCUGAAGCAACGUGAGCUCUUUCCAGAAGGCCAGGAACUGACUGAAGGAGGACUUGUGUUGAAGUGGAAACUGAGACCCAAAAGUUUGAAAACUUUCCCAAGAUGACUCAGCUAGGAAAGUCUAAAGCUGGAACUUGAGCCCACAUCUAUUUAGACUCCAACGUUCAUGCUCCCCUAUUUUCAUUAUUAUAUGGCAGUGAUCUCAAAGUAAUAGGAUCAGCCCUUGAAUGUGGACUUGGCUUCUCCCCAGUGGCAGACCUGGGACAUAACUGUGAGCAAAGAGUACUGGAGAGUACAUGCAUUCUCACUACUAAUAUGCACUUUUAUUCAACAUAGUACUGGAAGCCUUCGCCACAGCAAUCAGACAACAAAAAGAAAUGAAAGGCAUCUAAAUUGGCAAGAGCAACAAAUGCAAAAAUAAGAA
Molecule: long non-coding RNA, 1220 nt
Organism: Herpailurus yagouaroundi (jaguarundi)
Lineage: Eukaryota; Metazoa; Chordata; Mammalia; Carnivora; Felidae
Exons: 4
Source: RefSeq, a predicted model, not a curated record